This is a long non-coding RNA of Siniperca chuatsi (mandarin fish), 449 nucleotides long. RefSeq lists it as uncharacterized. The transcript has 2 exons. The record is from RefSeq and is a predicted model, not a curated record. NCBI's taxonomy places the organism in Eukaryota, Metazoa, Chordata, Actinopteri, Centrarchiformes, Sinipercidae.
UUUAAUGAUAUUGUGAUGUUUAUAUUUAUUUUUAACAUGUAAACGCUUCUACAUGAUCGGAUUUCUUGGAUAAAAGUCCUCUUCACAAACAUCAGUGUUACAAACAGGUGAGGUGCCACCGCACGAUGCUUAAACGUGAUUGGUCGAUACGUACUCACAGUGAAGUAGUUCAUUUCCUGAGAGAUGUGUUUGUUUUUCUCCUUCGAGUCCUGAACCGAACCUUUCUCAAGUUUCCCAUGAUGCCCUGCAUGUUUGUCCAGGUUCACAGGGAAUGGCCGCCUGUUGCGUCUCCAGAGUCUUUGUGUGAACAGUUUACACUUCAAGGCUUUAAUCCAACCAGAGAUCAGUGUGUCUGCCCCCCCCCCCAGUAGGAAGGAGGCCUCCAGGACACCUGUGUCUGACAUGAUUUACCAAACACACCUGUGGUCACGUGACACUCAGAUUAACCU